RNAcentral lists this long non-coding RNA (265 nucleotides) under Sorghum bicolor (sorghum). RNAcentral describes it as "long non-coding RNA (SBIC_LNC002722)". The record is from RNAcentral. Lineage: Eukaryota; Viridiplantae; Streptophyta; Magnoliopsida; Poales; Poaceae.
CAUGCUAUCCACUAUUAAAAGCUAAAUGCAGUCAAACCAGUGUCAGCUAUUUGAGCCUCAUGAACCCCUGGUUAUACUUGUUGAGUACGAUAUGUGCUCACUCUUGCUAUUUCCCACCACUCCAGUUUACUAGUAAGAGUUGAUGAGAAGAGCGAUGGAGUCAUAAAGGAUGUUCUCAGGAUACAAGAAGUGCUAGGCAUAUGUUACCCCAGUCAAUCGUCCCUGUGAAGAUUGAGCCUAAAGAUUACUUAUCAUUCCGCGGUAC